This 251-nucleotide ribosomal RNA is filed under the name Spiroplasma endosymbiont of Agyneta unimaculata. RNAcentral describes it as "partial 16S ribosomal RNA". It matches the Rfam family "Bacterial small subunit ribosomal RNA", at positions 524 to 775 of the family's 1533-position model. Lineage: Bacteria; Bacillati; Mycoplasmatota; Mollicutes; Entomoplasmatales; Spiroplasmataceae. The record is from RNAcentral.
UACAUAGGUGGCAAGCGUUAUCCGGAUUUAUUGGGCGUAAAGCGUGCGUAGACAGUUUUGCAAGUCUGAGGUUAAAUUUAGGGGCUCAACCCCUAACCGCCUUGGAAACUACAUUACUAGAGUAUAGGAGAGGUUAGUGGAAUUUCAUGUGUAGCGGUGGAAUGCGUAGAUAUAUGAAGGAACACCAGUGGCGAAGGCGGCUAACUGGCCUAUUACUGACGUUGUGGCACGAAAGCGUGGGGAGCAAAUAG